GCACUUCUCUCUUCUGCCUCCUAGUGAAAAAGGUGCCUGCUUCUUCUUCUGCCAUAAGUUUCCUGAGGCUUCCCCAGCCGUGCGUAACUGAGUGAGGACCUAGAAUUUUAAUGUCUAAUAUGCGGUGUGAAUUAAAGAAGUGGCCUUGCUAUGCUGACCUUUUCAAUAUUCUAAUCUUUGCUUUGCUGACCUCUCAGGCCUCUUCCUGGCAACAGUUAGGCUUUUGAGAGGAGGGAGAGCUGAGACUGUUGGCUCCUUCCCAUUUAUGAGAGAGCCACAUGACAUCAGCCCAUAGACUGUGGAGAGUAUUCCAGAUCUAUCACAUUCUGCGAUUCUGCGAUUCCCAGAAGGCUGGUCAUGAAAAAAUUCCCUCUUCAGUUUACAUAUAUGGCAGUGAUGCACAACAUUGUUCUUUUGGUUGUGAAUACUUCGAAGAAGUAGAUGUGGUCCUGGUUGAUGGAUGAACAUUGAGGCCCUCAAGUGCAUAAAGCUCCAGUGCCAUGACAGUUUUAAUCUUCUGGUUCCAUCUGCAUAGAUUUCAGUCUCUAAUUGAGGAAAAUCAUCUGUUUUUCUCAGGAGCCCCUUGAUUCAAGUUUAUACAAAAUGUGCCUUUGGAGACUAUCCUGUUAAUUAAAACAGUUCAGAUCCCACUUGUAUGUGAGACAGAUGCUUCUCUGGCCAUCAGCCAGGUACCACUAAAGGAGGUACAGGCACUUCUAGAUAUCUGUUGAGGCCUGGAAGGGGCAAAACAAUUCAGGAAGCAGUUGAAGAUAAAGGGGUUUACCAUGGAAGAGAAGAUCCAGGUGCCUUCAUGGAAAUGCUUGUGGUUGAAAAGAGAUGAAGAUGAGGGUCCCUGGAAAGAGGAAGAACCAGCCAGGAAAAUUAUACCAUUAGCAAGACUGGCAUCAGCAAGUAGUUCGCAGUGUUGGUUGUUCUUGGUUUCGCAGGAUUUUAUAGGAGGUUACAAAUAAAAUAUUGGAUAGAAGCAUAUGGAACAUUUCAUCAUGCUUGCAUUUUAGUCUGAUGAACAGUCACCAACACAACCUUAUUUGGAAGAAUUAGAGUUCAAGACCAUCCAUACCCUCUAAGCAGGAGGGAGAAGCAUAGGUUAUCCUGUUUCUGCCACAGGUGGAAUGACUUCCUUACCAAAGGGUAGGAAGGAGAGAACAGCAUGACUAAUGUACUCCAGGUGGCUAGUAGUGAUAAAAAUACUACUUUUUUUUUUUUUUUUUUUUUUUUUUUUUGAGACGUAGUCUCACUCUGUUGCCCAGGCUGGAGUGCAGUGGCGUGAUCUCAGCUCACAGCAACCUCCCCCUCCCAGGUUCAAGUGAUUCUCCUGUCUCAGCCUCCCAGAUAGGUAGAAUCACAGGCAUGCUCCACCACAUCCGGCUAAUUUUUGUAUUUUUAGUAGAGAUGGGGUUUCGCCAUGUUGGCCAGGCUGGUUUCAGACUCCUGACCUCAGGUGAUCUUCUCACCUCAGCCUCCCAAAGUGCUGAGAUUACAGGUAUGAGCCACCAUGCCUGCCCAAAAAAUUGCUACUUAAUCUAAGCAGAACUAAUUUAGGUAGAAAAGUUAGAAACCUAAUUUUGAUUGCAAAAGAUUUUGUUCUUAUUCAUUCACUGCUAUAUGAAAUAUUUUUAUCAGAAUUCAAAGCAUGCCAGGGUUAUGUUUAAAAGGAGACUUAAACAAUCCUUUUACAGAGAUAACUGUGAGCUAAAUUCACAGAAAGCUGUAAUCGAGUGGUAUGAGCAUCUCCACUAAGAGCAUUGUUUGAGAAGUAUGGAGGUAGGAAGAAGGAUAAAGGGGAGAAAGAAAGAAAUAGCUCAGUAGGAAGAGAAUACGGAAUAAGCAAAUCAGGGUUGAAAAAGGACUGUGCUUAACUUUAUAAUUUUGCUUCUAAAAGUCACUUUCUUUCAAAAACAAAAACAAAAAACAAAGAAAAUAACUAUAAGCAGUGGUUCUCUUCUCCUCUGCAAGGUUCUGCAGUCUAGCUUAAGAAAAUUCCCUUGAUCUGGAAAUAAGUUAGAUAAAAAUCCCAUGGGGUAAAACUAUUGUGAAGUGAUUAUGAGCUUUCUCUCCUAAAAGGACCAGCCACCAAAACGUACAAUAGCACAAUCAACUCAGCCACUGUGAGCCGCAUCAGGCAUGUCUCAGUGGAUCCAGUGUAAGUGUUUUUACUAGCAGGGGGUAAAAACGGUAUUCCUUAGAAGAUGAGGGUUCCACAGCCUAUUUAACAUAGACAUGAGAAGCACUACCAGGCAGAAGAAGUCUAUGGCUUGACCCUAUUAGAUGAUCUUCUGAGGUGUUUAUUAAUAAGUGAUAGGUUGUGUUUUUUUUUCAAUGACAAAGCAAGGAUUUUUAUCUUUUACAAGACAUCAAAGGAGUUUGACUCUAAGUUUCUCUGUGGAGAUUUGGCUGAGAGUCUCUAGAUUAUGGUGAUAACAACACCUAAGAGAUUUAUUUAAGAAGUGCCCCUUGGCCCUUCUUUCAGAGAAUCCACAAAUCUUUAUUCAAUUCUGUCAGUCUCUGGCAAGGGAAACGCCAUCUAGUCCAGUGAACAAUUAAUAAAUGGUGCUCAGUAAGUGCUAGUUGAUGAUAAUGAUAAUAAUGAUGAGAUGAUGAUGAUGGUAAUAGACUUAUCUUGAUUCAAAAAUAAAUGUGUAAUGUAUAUGUAUAUAUAUGUUUAUGUAUAUAUAUAUGUAAAUAUAUAUGUUUCAAAUUCUCUUCAGCCUUGAAAAUGAAGAUUGCACAUUUUUCUUUACCAUAUGUAAAGGAAUGCUUUCAGUUUCUGGUUUUCUGUGUAAAAAUUCUAGGAGAUUUUAUCAUCAAUGCUUGCACUUAGUUUUAAUGAGCAGUCAUUUCUGAGCUGAACAUAAAAUGCUUCAGUAAAAUAAAUAGAAAAAGUUAUUAGUCUGUAGUUCUUGGUGCAAAAAUGAUUUUUCCCAAAAUUGUAUGGAUUAGAAAAGUAUGAUAAAAUAGUAGAUUUUUAACUCCUAUCCAAGCCAUAAAUCUCUCCUCAAUCUUUAGGAUUCUGUAAACUUUAACAUGUACUGAGUUUACUCUGGAAUACUCACAAUCACUUACUCUCCUCCAAGCUCUCUCAGCCAUGAAUAAGAUAGACAGAUUUCAUGUGUGGUUGGGAAAUUUCCUCUUAUAGGAUGGAGCUGUGCAGGCAAGAAAUAACUCUUAAGACAGUCUGGGGAAUGAGUCUAAAACAUGGGCGGACAGAGGGUAAUGUGAGAUUGUAUAGGGGGAUGUUUGGGGGCAUAAUAAAUAAAGCAAGAGUGAUGCACAGAUAUAUUUUUGUCCUAGGAAAAUAAUGUAAAUUUAGUAAAAAUAUGUUCAAUAUUUAUUCCAAUAUAUCUCACAAUAAACCAAGAGAAAUAC
RNAcentral lists this long non-coding RNA (3387 nucleotides) under Pan troglodytes (chimpanzee). RNAcentral's name for it is "lincRNA". Lineage: Eukaryota; Metazoa; Chordata; Mammalia; Primates; Hominidae. The record is from RNAcentral.